RNAcentral lists this ribosomal RNA (253 nucleotides) under uncultured bacterium. RNAcentral's name for it is "partial 16S ribosomal RNA". It matches the Rfam family "Bacterial small subunit ribosomal RNA", at positions 524 to 776 of the family's 1533-position model. The record is from RNAcentral.
UACGUAGGGUGCGAGCGUUGUCCGGAAUUAUUGGGCGUAAAGAGCUUGUAGGUGGUUUGUCGCGUCUGCUGUGAAAAUCCGAGGCUCAACCUCGGACUUGCAGUGGGUACGGGCAGACUAGAGUGUGGUAGGGGAGACUGGAAUUCCUGGUGUAGCGGUGGAAUGCGCAGAUAUCAGGAGGAACACCAAUUGCGAAGGCAGCUCGCUGGGACGUUACUGACACUGAGGAGCGAAAGCGUGGGUAGCAAACAGG